GACGAACGCUGGCGGCGUGCUUAACACAUGCAAGUCGAACGGAAAGGCCCUGCUUUUGUGGGGUGCUCGAGUGGCGAACGGGUGAGUAACACGUGAGUAACCUGCCCUUGACUUUGGGAUAACUUCAGGAAACUGGGGCUAAUACCGGAUAGGAGCUCCUGCUGCAUGGUGGGGGUUGGAAAGUUUCGGCGGUUGGGGAUGGACUCGCGGCUUAUCAGCUUGUUGGUGGGGUAGUUGCUUACCAAGGCUUUGACGGGUAGCCGGCCUGAGAGGGUGACCGGCCACAUUGGGACUGAGAUACGGCCCAGACUCCUACGGGAGGCAGCAGUGGGGAAUAUUGCACAAUGGGCGGAAGCCUGAUGCAGCAACGCCGCGUGCGGGAUGAAGGCCUUCGGGUUGUAAACCGCUUUCGCCUGUGACGAAGCGUGAGUGACGGUAAUGGGUAAAGAAGCACCGGCUAACUACGUG
Molecule: ribosomal RNA, 468 nt
Filed under: uncultured bacterium
Lineage: Bacteria
Description: partial 16S ribosomal RNA
Rfam family: Bacterial small subunit ribosomal RNA
Source: RNAcentral